UACGUAGGUGGCAAGCGUUGUCCGGAUUUACUGGGCGUAAAGAGCGCGCAGGCGGUCGAAUAAGUCGAAUGUGAAAGCCCCCGGCUCAACUGGGGAGGGUCAUUCGAUACUGUUCGACUUGAAGGCAGGAGAGAGAAGCAGAAUUCCCGGUGUAGUGGUGAAAUGCGUAGAGAUCCGGAGGAACACCAGUGGCGAAGGCGACGUCCUGGGCUUGACCUGACGCUGAGACGCGACAGCACGGGGAGCGAACGGG
RNAcentral lists this ribosomal RNA (253 nucleotides) under uncultured bacterium. RNAcentral's name for it is "partial 16S ribosomal RNA". It matches the Rfam family "Bacterial small subunit ribosomal RNA", at positions 524 to 776 of the family's 1533-position model. The record is from RNAcentral.